GCCUGCAUUCGAAAGUGAUGAAGGCCUUCACCCUGUGGCCUCUGUCAUUGAUAGUGCAGGCAGAGAAUACCUGAAAGCAUUUCCCGUGUUUGUGGGGCCUCUUGCCAUCUCCUUCAAACCCUGAGCUUUUCAGACA
Small nucleolar RNA from Ahaetulla prasina, 136 nucleotides. RefSeq annotates it as small nucleolar RNA SNORA71. The transcript has a single exon. NCBI's taxonomy places the organism in Eukaryota, Metazoa, Chordata, Lepidosauria, Squamata, Colubridae. The record is from RefSeq and is a predicted model, not a curated record.